UUCCGGUUGAUCCUGCCGGAGGCGACCGCUUUUGGAGUUCGAUUAAGCCAUGCGAGUCGAGAGCCUUAGGGGCUCGGCAUACUGCUCAGUAACACGUGGAUAACCUGCCCUAUUGUCUGGAAUAACCUCGGGAAACUGAGAACAAGGCCGGAUAACCCACAAUGCCUGGAACGGUUUGUGGGUGAAGAUAGGAUGGGUCUGCGGCGUAUCAGGUCGUAGGGGGCGUAAUGGACCUCCUAGCCAUCGACGCGUACGGGUGUUGGGAGACAUAGCCCGGAGAUGGAUUCUGAGACACGAAUCCAGACCCUACGGGGUGCAGCAGGCGCGAAAACUUCACACUGCAGGAAACUGUGAUGAGGGAACUCCAAGUGCAUGCACUAUGUGUAUGCUUUUCUUAACUAUUAAUCGGUUUUGGAAUAAGGGCUGGGAAAGACCGGUGCCAGCCGCCGCGGUAAUACCGGCAGCUCAAGUGGUCGUCGCUUUUAUUGGGCCUAAAACGUCCGUAGCCUGUUUGGUAAAUCUGUGGGUAAAUCAACCAGCUUAACUGGUUGAAUUCUGCAGAGACUGCCAGACUAGGGACCGGGAGAGGUGUGGGGUACUCUAGGGGUAGGGGUAAAAUCCUGUCAUCCUUAGAGGACCACCAGUUGCGAAGGCGCCACACUGGAACGGAUCCGACGGUCAGGGACGAAGCCUAGGGGCACGAACCGGAUUAGAUACCCGGGUAGUCCUAGGUGUAAACGCUGUGAACUUGGUGUCAGGGAUCCGUAAUGGGUUCUCGGUGCCGGAGUGAAGAUGUUAAGUUCACUGCCUGGGGAGUACGGUCGCAAGGCUGAAACUUAAAGGAAUUGGCGGGGGAGCACUGCAACGGGAGGAGCGUGCGGUUUAAUUGGAUCAACGCCGAA
Molecule: ribosomal RNA, 902 nt
Filed under: uncultured archaeon
Lineage: Archaea
Description: bacterial SSU rRNA
Rfam family: Archaeal small subunit ribosomal RNA
Source: RNAcentral